This 497-nucleotide ribosomal RNA is filed under the name uncultured bacterium. RNAcentral's name for it is "partial 16S ribosomal RNA". It matches the Rfam family "Bacterial small subunit ribosomal RNA", at positions 28 to 507 of the family's 1533-position model. The record is from RNAcentral.
GAUGAACGCUGGCGGCGUGCCUAAUACAUGCCAGUCGAGCGAACGGACGAGAAGCUUGCUUCUCUGAUGUUAGCGGCGGACGGGUGAGUAACACGUGGAUAACCUACCUAUAAGACUGGGAUAACUUCGGGAAACCGGAGCUAAUACCGGAUAAUAUUUUGAACCGCAUGGUUCAAAAGUGAAAGACGGUCUUGCUGUCACUUAUAGCUGGAUCCGCGCUGCAUUAGCUAGUUGGUAAGGUAACGGCUUACCAAGGCAACGAUGCAUAGCCGACCUGAGAGGGUGAUCGGCCACACUGGAACUGAGACACGGUCCAGACUCCUACGGGAGGCAGCAGUAGGGAAUCUUCCGCAAUGGGCGAAAGCCUGACGGAGCAACGCCGCGUGAGUGAUGAAGGUCUUCGGAUCGUAAAACUCUGUUAUUAGGGAAGAACAUAUGUGUAAGUAACUGUGCACAUCUUGACGGUACCUAAUCAGAAAGCCACGGCUAACUACGUG